CUUCUGGGUCACCUGGUUCGUGUCUGAGAUUAGCUCCUGCAAUUCGACCUCCAGGAGGCUGAUCCAGUGCUCCAAGAGGUCCUUGUGUUCUGGAGACGCAAUCAGCAUCUAAUAUUGAGGAGCAUAAGCAGUUAUCACAGCCUGCCCUGGUACUUCUACGAGGGAUCGUUUGGUAGAGAAAGGUGUGAGCAGGAGCUUGGCCAUCAGGGCGUUGAGCGGACAUUGGCACUUCUACGACAGCGGUGCUUCUGACCCGGUAUGUCGGUAGAGGAAGCUGAAUGGUGUAAGAUAAACACCAAACUAAAAUGAGCAAAAAAUAUGGAUACUGAAAUAAAGGAAAAUGAGGAUCACACCAGGAACUGGCGACCUGUUGGAGAGUCACGCCAUGC
This is a long non-coding RNA of Clarias gariepinus (North African catfish), 389 nucleotides long. RefSeq lists it as uncharacterized. The transcript has 3 exons. NCBI's taxonomy places the organism in Eukaryota, Metazoa, Chordata, Actinopteri, Siluriformes, Clariidae. The record is from RefSeq and is a predicted model, not a curated record.